GUGCCAGCCGCCGCGGUAAUACGUAGGGAGCAAGCGUUGUUCGGAAUUAUUGGGCGUAAAGAGCGCGUAGGCGGUUCGGUAAGUCUGAUGUGAAAUCCCAGAGCUUAACUCUGGAACUGCAUUGGAUACUGCCGAGCUUGAGUGUGGGAGAGGAGAGUGGAAUUCCCAGUGUAGAGGUGAAAUUCGUAGAUAUUGGGAGGAACACCCGUGGCGAAGGCGGCUCUCUGGACCACAACUGACGCUGAGGCGCGAAAGCUAGGGUAGCAAACGGGAUUAGAUACCCCGGUAGUCCUAGCCGUAAACGAUGGGCACUAGGUGUUGGAGGUAUCGACCCCUCCAGUGCCGCAGCUAACGCAUUAAGUGCCCCGCCUGGGGAGUACGGUCGCAAGACUAAAACUCAAAGGAAUUGACGGGGGCCCGCACAAGCGGUGGAGCAUGUGGUUUAAUUCGACGCAACGCGAAGAACCUUACCUGGGCUUGACAUCCCGCGAAGGUGCUGGAAACAGUACUGUCCUUUCGGGGACGCGGUGACAGGUGCUGCAUGGCUGUCGUCAGCUCGUGUCGUGAGAUGUUGGGUUAAGUCCCGCAACGAGCGCAACCCUUACCCUUAGUUGCCAGCGAGUAAUGUCGGGAACUCUAAGGGAACUGCCGGUGAUAAACCGGAGGAAGGUGAGGAUGACGUCAAGUCCUCAUGGCCUUUAUGCCCAGGGCUACACACGUGCUACAAUGGCCGGUACAAAGAGUUGCAAGCCCGCGAGGGGGAGCCAAUCUCAAAAAGCCGGUCUCAGUUCAGAUUGUAGGCUGCAACUCGCCUACAUGAAGGCGGAAUCGCUAGUAAUCCCGGAUCAGCAUGCCGGGGUGAAUACGUUCCCGGGCCUUGUACACACCGCCCGUCACACCACGAAAGUCAGUUGUACCAGAAGUCACUGAGCCAACCCGCAAGGGGGGCAGGUGCCGAAGGUAUGAUUGGUGAUUGGGGUGAAGUCGUAACAAGGUAGCC
RNAcentral lists this ribosomal RNA (1000 nucleotides) under uncultured bacterium. RNAcentral's name for it is "bacterial SSU rRNA". It matches the Rfam family "Bacterial small subunit ribosomal RNA", at positions 505 to 1501 of the family's 1533-position model. The record is from RNAcentral.